CAAAUGGUGUUAAAAGAAUUGGUGAGAAGACUGAAGCUUCAUUAGUAUGGUUUACUCCUGCAAGAACUUCAAACCAGUGGCUUGAUUUCUGGUUACGUCAUCGACUCCAGUGGUGGAGAAAGUUUGCCAUGAGUCCAUCUAACUUCAGCAGCAGUGACUGUCAGGAUGAAGAAGGCCGGAAAGGAAACAAACUUUACUACAAUUUUCCCUGGGGAAAGGAGCUAAUAGAAACCCUGUGGAACUUAGGAGAUCAUGAACUUUUACACAUGUAUCCUGGCAAUGUGUCUAAAUUACAUUCAAAGGUGGUUAUUUAAGUAUUUUUAAAAAUUACAUGAAUAUCCAGGUGAACAAUGAUUUACAAAAAAAGAAAGAUGAA
Molecule: small RNA, 376 nt
Filed under: Pongo abelii (Sumatran orangutan)
Lineage: Eukaryota; Metazoa; Chordata; Mammalia; Primates; Hominidae
Description: processed transcript
Source: RNAcentral